Long non-coding RNA from Hibiscus syriacus, 1508 nucleotides. RefSeq lists it as uncharacterized. The transcript is spliced from 4 exons. The record is from RefSeq and is a predicted model, not a curated record. Lineage: Eukaryota; Viridiplantae; Streptophyta; Magnoliopsida; Malvales; Malvaceae.
CUGAGCAACCAAUAAGAGGCAUUUGAAGAUAACCAAAAGAACUGUGGAGAUUUAUAUGUUUGCAUUUGCUUCUGCAUUGUUGUUGUUUUAGCUUUGCCAGCUAAAAAUAAAUACAGAACGUUCAUUGUAUUUGAGAAACCCAGUCGAGAGUUGGUUGGUUUUUUAUUUGACUCAGAGGGGAAGCAAUAAACAAAUGAAAUUGCUUCAAACAUGACUGCUUUAGAAAUGCAAUUUAUAGCUUUAAAGUUUAGAAGUUUGUUUUAGGUUACUGAAGUUCAAUAUAGAAUCACUUUUAUAGGUUGGGAAAAAAGAAUUCAAGGGAGAGAAAUCAAGAGAAACUUAAAAUGAAUUGUGUGUGUUGAAACUCUGAACCAAUGAAGGAGGGACUAGUGGAAAAUUUUCUAAAGUGCUACUUAUUUUUUCUGGUGCUGGGACUUACAUAAAGAGAUUCUUUUUGCCCAGGUUGAAGUCUGGGAUCAGCAAGGUUGCUUUGGAAGAGGAUGACGAUGAAGGAAGAAACUCGAAACUAAAAAGGGUAAAGUAGAGAUGCCAAUAUCUGGGACUGGGAAUCAUCCAAAAGUUUGUCAGCAGUAUCUGGGGGAUAAAAGAAAGGGAAUGUGAGGGCGAGAACCGAGGAACAAAACAAAUACAGGAAACCAACCUUUCCUUCUUAUGCUCCAACUGUGCUCUCUUGCUACCCACAGAAGUGCAGUGAGAGGGGAUAUCGAAUUGCAUGUGAAUCGUCAUCCACUUGUCAGGGAACUUGAACAAUACCUAGGAAGAAACGACCUCCACAUGCUGCUAAACGUAGACACAAGCGACAAAUCAAUCUGAAUUUCUCGAUGAGAAUUACCAGCUUCGGCGUGUAUUCUUUCCGGAUGUGAAAACUGUUACGGAUCCGGUGAUUGUGAAGGAAGCAGCAAAUGAAGGCCACUACUACCAUCCGGCGAAAAUUUGGUUGGAUAAUGAAGGAAAUCCUAUCCAAGCCCAUGGAGGUGGUAUGCUAUAUGAUGAAAGAUCCGGUACAUACUAUUGGAAGGGAGAAUACACAGAUGCAACUCACCUACGAUGCACAUAAGAAAGGUGCAAUACAAGUAAAUUUACUAUUUUGAAUACAUAAUCCAAUUUUAUUAUCUUGUUUUUCUCAGUAAAGAAUAUAUUGCUUGCAUUCAUAGAACAAAGAGAAACAAGAUUUAAUAUUUGUUUUUGUUUUUUUUAGGAUUUUAGUGAUUAGUAUUGGGGAAAGGAUGAGACAGAUUUCGUAGAAGAAAAUUCUGAAAAAGGGAGAGAAUUACAUAAAUGAUUUAUAGUUUCACUAAAACAGGCUGAUGAUGUAAGGAUCAAAAUUACUCUUUUUUUUAAGCGUAACCAAAAUCGAACAGAUCGAAAACAUAAGAGACCACCAGUAUAGUUUACCCUUUAUGUUUUGUAAAUAUGUUCAUAGAGAAGGGAAGAAUACAUCUCAUGUCACUCAAUUAUUAUUUUAUUUAUAAAUCGGUCACGUUUUU